This 70-nucleotide transfer RNA is filed under the name Dawkinsia filamentosa (blackspot barb). RNAcentral describes it as "tRNA-Met". It matches the Rfam family "tRNA". Rfam says of the family: Transfer RNA (tRNA) molecules are approximately 80 nucleotides in length. The record is from RNAcentral. RNAcentral also lists the same sequence under 1 other name. Lineage: Eukaryota; Metazoa; Chordata; Actinopteri; Cypriniformes; Cyprinidae.
GGCAGAGUCAGCUAAACAAAGCUCUUGGGCCCAUACCCCAAACAUGAUGGUUAAAACCCCUCCUCCGCCA